This 459-nucleotide ribosomal RNA is filed under the name uncultured bacterium. RNAcentral's name for it is "partial 16S ribosomal RNA". It matches the Rfam family "Bacterial small subunit ribosomal RNA", at positions 338 to 795 of the family's 1533-position model. The record is from RNAcentral.
CCUACGGGUGGCAGCAGUGAGGAAUAUUGGUCAAUGGUCGGGAGACUGAACCAGCCAAGCCGCGUGAGGGAGGAAGGUACAGAGUAUCGUAAACCUCUUUUGUCAGGGAACACAGGCGGGGCCGUGUCCCCGGAUGAGUGUACCUGAAGAAAAAGCAUCGGCUAACUCCGUGCCAGCAGCCGCGGUAAUCCGGAGGAUGCGAGCGUUAUCCGGAUUUAUUGGGUUUAAGGGGUGCGCAGGCGGUCGAUUAAGUCAGCGGUGAAAGCCCGGGGCUCAACCCCGGCCCGCCGUUGAAACUGGCAGUCUCGAGUUGGAUAGAAGUAUGCGGAAUGCGCGGUGUAGCGGUGAAAUGCAUAGAUAUCGCGCAGAACUCCGAUUGCGAAGGCAGCAUGCCGGCUCCACACUGACGCUGAGGCACGAAAGCGUGGGUAUCGAACAGGAUUAGAUACCCCAGUAGUC